This 460-nucleotide ribosomal RNA is filed under the name uncultured bacterium. RNAcentral's name for it is "partial 16S ribosomal RNA". It matches the Rfam family "Bacterial small subunit ribosomal RNA", at positions 338 to 795 of the family's 1533-position model. The record is from RNAcentral.
CCUACGGGAGGCAGCAGUGAGGAAUAUUGGUCAAUGGGCUUACGCCUGAACCAGCCAAGUCGCGUGAGGGAAGACUGCCCUAUGGGUUGUAAACCUCUUUUGUCAGGGAGCAACGCCGGCUACGUGUAGCCGGACUGAGAGUACCUGAAGAAAAAGCAUCGGCUAACUCCGUGCCAGCAGCCGCGGUAAUACGGAGGAUGCGAGCGUUAUCCGGAUUUAUGGGGUUUAAAGGGUGCGUAGGCGGAAUGUCAAGUCAGCGGUAAAAUCGCGGGGCUCAACCUCGCUCCGCCGUUGAAACUGGCGUUCUUGAGUGGGCGAGAAGUAUGCGGAAUGCGUGGUGUAGCGGUGAAAUGCAUAGAUAUCACGCAGAACUCCGAUUGCGAAGGCAGCAUACCGGCGCCCAACUGACGCUGAAGCACGAAAGCGUGGGUAUCGAACAGGAUUAGAUACCCUAGUAGUC